UUGUAAUUGCCUCUAAUCUGGA
This 22-nucleotide non-coding RNA is filed under the name Rattus norvegicus (Norway rat). Lineage: Eukaryota; Metazoa; Chordata; Mammalia; Rodentia; Muridae. The record is from RNAcentral.